AUGGAGCUGAAGCCAGUCGCAGAUACCAGCUGGCUGCAACUGUUUAUUAAAAACACAGCACUGUGCAAACACGAAAGUGGACGUAUACGGUGUGACGCCUGCCCGGUGCUGGAAGGUUAAUUGAUGGGGUUAUCCGUAAGGAGAAGCUCUUGAUCGAAGCCCCAGUAAACGGCGGCCGUAACUAUAACGGUCCUAAGGUAGCGAAAUUCCUUGUCGGGUAAGUUCCGACCUGCACGAAUGGCGUAAUGAUGGCCAGGCUGUCUCCACCCGAGACUCAGUGAAAUUGAACUCGCUGUGAAGAUGCAGUGUACCCGCGGCAAGACGGAAAGACCCCGUGAACCUUUACUAUAGCUUGACACUGAACAUUGAGCCUUGAUGUGUAGGAUAGGUGGGAGGCUUUGAAGUGUGGACGCCAGUCUGCAUGGAGCCAACCUUGAAAUACCACCCUUUAAUGUUUGAUGUUCUAACGUAGCCCCAUAAUCUGGGGUGCGGACAGUGUCUGGUGGGUAGUUUGACUGGGGCGGUCUCCUCCCAAAGCGUAACGGAGGAGCACGAAGGUUGGCUAAGCAUGGUCGGACAUCAUGCGGUUAGUGCAAAGGCAUAAGCCAGCUUGACUGCGAGAGUGACGGCUCGAGCAGGUACGAAAGUAGGUCUUAGUGAUCCGGUGGUUCUGAAUGGAAGGGCCAUCGCUCAACGGAUAAAAGGUACUCCGGGGAUAACAGGCUGAUACCGCCCAAGAGUUCAUAUCGACGGCGGUGUUUGGCACCUCGAUGUCGGCUCAUCACAUCCUGGGGCUGAAGUAGGUCCCAAGGGUAUGGCUGUUCGCCAUUUAAAGUGGUACGCGAGCUGGGUUUAGAACGUCGUGAGACAGUUCGGUCCCUAUCUGCCGUGGGCGUUGGAAGAUUGAAAGGGGCUGCUCCUAGUACGAGAGGACCGGAGUGGACGCACCGCUGGUGUUCGGGUUGUCAUGCCAAUGGCACUGCCCGGUAGCUAAGUGCGGAAGAGAUAACCGCUGAAAGCAUCUAAGCGGGAAACUUGCCUUGAGAUGAGUCUUCCCUGACUCUUUAAGGGUCCUAAAGGAACGUUUAAGACGAAGACGUUGAUAGGCUGGGUGUGUAAGCGUAGCGAUACGUUGAGCUAACCAGUACUAAUGAACCGUGAGGCUUAACCUG
RNAcentral lists this ribosomal RNA (1172 nucleotides) under Providencia stuartii. Its description in RNAcentral is "partial 23S ribosomal RNA". It matches the Rfam family "Bacterial large subunit ribosomal RNA", at positions 1761 to 2925 of the family's 2925-position model. The record is from RNAcentral. Lineage: Bacteria; Pseudomonadati; Pseudomonadota; Gammaproteobacteria; Enterobacterales; Morganellaceae.